This 332-nucleotide ribosomal RNA is filed under the name uncultured bacterium. RNAcentral's name for it is "bacterial SSU rRNA". It matches the Rfam family "Bacterial small subunit ribosomal RNA", at positions 568 to 898 of the family's 1533-position model. The record is from RNAcentral.
CGUGUAGGCGGCCUGGAAGGUCAGCUGUGAAAACUCGAGGCUCAACCUCGAGACGUCGGUUGAAACCACCUGGCUAGAGUCCGGAAGAGGAGAGUGGAAUUCCCGGUGUAGCGGUGAAAUGCGCAGAUAUCGGGAAGAACACCCGUGGCGAAGGCGGCUCUCUGGGACGGUACUGACGCUGAGACGCGAAAGCGUGGGGAGCGAACAGGAUUAGAUACCCUGGUAGUCCACGCCGUAAACGAUGGGUGCUAGGUGUGGGGGGUGUCGACUCCCUCCGUGCCGAAGCUAACGCAUUAAGCACCCCGCCUGGGGAGUACGGCCGCAAGGCUAAA